GCCCAGGUGGCGAAACGGCAGACGCGCUAGCUUGAGGGGCUAGUGCCCGAUAAGGGCGUGGAGGUUCAAGUCCUCUCCUGGGCA
Molecule: transfer RNA, 84 nt
Filed under: Chloroflexia bacterium
Lineage: Bacteria; Bacillati; Chloroflexota; Chloroflexia
Description: tRNA-Leu
Rfam family: tRNA
About the family: Transfer RNA (tRNA) molecules are approximately 80 nucleotides in length. Their secondary structure includes four short double-helical elements and three loops (D, anti-codon, and T loops). Further hydrogen bonds mediate the characteristic L-shaped molecular structure. tRNAs have two regions of fundamental functional importance: the anti-codon, which is responsible for specific mRNA codon recognition, and the 3' end, to which the tRNAs corresponding amino acid is attached (by aminoacyl-tRNA synthetases). tRNAs cope with the degeneracy of the genetic code in two manners: having more than one tRNA (with a specific anti-codon) for a particular amino acid; and 'wobble' base-pairing, i.e. permitting non-standard base-pairing at the 3rd anti-codon position.
Source: RNAcentral